ACGGCGAGUGAACAGGGAAAAGCCCACCACCGAAGCCUGUGGUCGUUUGGCCCCUAGGCAAUGUGGUGUUCAGGUUAGCUCGCGAAGAUGCUGCUCCACCCUAAGUCCUAUAAUGAGUAAGGUUACUCGGACAUGGCCCAAUGAGGGUGAAAGGCCCGUGGGGGUGGAGAUUCAGAAUGGCCAGUAUCUUCCUGAGCAGACCUUGGAGUCGGGUUGUUUGUGAAUGCAGCCCAAAGCGGGUGGUAAACUCCAUCCAAGGCUAAAUACUAGCACGAGUCCGAUAGCGAACAAGUACCGUGAGGGAAAGUUGAAAAGUACUUUGAAGAGAGAGUAAACAGUGCGUGAAACCGUUCAGAGGUAAACAGGUGGAGUUGAACUGCAAGCUCUGAGGAUUCAGCUGGUGAGUAUGGCAUGAGCUUGGUCAUAUUGGUUGUGUGCUCGGGUCUGCUUAGCUGCAGGUCUCCGCUUCGGUGGGGAUGCGCGAAUCACUCAACAGGUGUUGUGCGUCCGGGUACUGACGGACCUGCUUGCCAGUGCCACUUUCUCUGAGUGUUCACCACGACCGACGUUGCUGUCUGGCUGUUGCGGUUAAA
Molecule: ribosomal RNA, 593 nt
Filed under: Fasciola gigantica
Lineage: Eukaryota; Metazoa; Platyhelminthes; Trematoda; Plagiorchiida; Fasciolidae
Description: partial large subunit ribosomal RNA
Rfam family: Eukaryotic large subunit ribosomal RNA
Source: RNAcentral